RNAcentral lists this ribosomal RNA (253 nucleotides) under uncultured bacterium. Its description in RNAcentral is "partial 16S ribosomal RNA". It matches the Rfam family "Bacterial small subunit ribosomal RNA", at positions 524 to 776 of the family's 1533-position model. The record is from RNAcentral.
UACAGGGGGGGCAAGCGUUGUUCGGAAUUACUGGGCGUAAAGGGCUCGUAGGUGGCCAACUAAGUCAGACGUGAAAUCCCUCAGCUUAACUGGGGAACUGCGUCUGAUACUGGAUGGCUUGAGUUUGGGAGAGGGAUGCGGAAUUCCAGGUGUAGCGGUGAAAUGCGUAGAUAUCCGGAGGAACACCGGUGGCGAAGGCGGCAUCCUGGACCAACACUGACACUGAGGAGCGAAAGCCAGGGGAGCAAACGGG